UGGGGAAUUUUGGACAAUGGGCGAAAGCCUGAUCCAGCAAUGCCGCGUGUGUGAAGAAGGCCUUCGGGUUGUAAAGCACUUUUGUCCGGAAAGAAAUCCUUGGCUCUAAUACAGUCGGGGGAUGACGGUACCGGAAGAAUAAGCACCGGCUAACUACGUGCCAGCAGCCGCGGUAAUACGUAGGGUGCAAGCGUUAAUCGGAAUUACUGGGCGUAAAGCGUGCGCAGGCGGUUUGCUAAGACCGAUGUGAAAUCCCCGGGCUCAACCUGGGAACUGCAUUGGUGACUGGCAGGCUAGAGUAUGGCAGAGGGGGGUAGAAUUCCACGUGUAGCAGUGAAAUGCGUAGAGAUGUGGAGGAAUACCGAUGGCGAAGGCAGCCCCCUGGGCCAAUACUGACGCUCAUGCACGAAAGGCGUGGGGAGCAAACAGGAUUAGAUACCCUGGUAGUCCACGCCCUAAACGAUGUCAACUAGUUGUUGGGGAUUCAUUUCCUUAGUAACGUAGCUAACGCGUGAAGUUGACCGCCUGGGGAGUACGGUCGCAAGAUUAAAACUCAAAUGAAUUGAC
RNAcentral lists this ribosomal RNA (567 nucleotides) under uncultured bacterium. RNAcentral describes it as "partial 16S ribosomal RNA". It matches the Rfam family "Bacterial small subunit ribosomal RNA", at positions 355 to 914 of the family's 1533-position model. The record is from RNAcentral.